GAUGAAGAACGUAGUGAAAUGCGAUAAGUAAUGUGAAUUGCAGAAUUCAGUGAAUCAUCGAAUCUUUGAACGCACAUUGCGCCCAUUAGUAUUCUAAUGGGCAUGCCUGUUCGAGCGUCAUUACAACCCUCAGGCCCCCGGGCCUGGCGUUGGGGAUCGGCGGAAGCCCCCUGCGGGCACAACGCCGUCCCCCAAAUACAGUGGCGGUCCCGCCGCAGCCUCCAUUGCGUAGUAGCUAACACCUCGCAACUGGAGAGCGGCGCGGCCACGCCGUAAAACACCCAACUUCUGAAUGUUGACCUCGAAUCAGGUAGGAAUACCCGCUGAACUUAAGCAUAUCAAUAAGCGGAGGA
This 353-nucleotide unclassified non-coding RNA is filed under the name soil metagenome. RNAcentral describes it as "partial contains 5.8S ribosomal RNA, internal transcribed spacer 2, and large subunit ribosomal RNA". The stretch from base 1 to 120 matches the Rfam family "5.8S ribosomal RNA", at positions 35 to 154 of the family's 154-position model. The record is from RNAcentral.